This 442-nucleotide ribosomal RNA is filed under the name Hydrophis cyanocinctus (Asian annulated sea snake). RNAcentral's name for it is "partial large subunit ribosomal RNA". It matches the Rfam family "Bacterial large subunit ribosomal RNA", at positions 1963 to 2620 of the family's 2925-position model. Lineage: Eukaryota; Metazoa; Chordata; Lepidosauria; Squamata; Elapidae. The record is from RNAcentral.
AAUCAUUUGUCUAUUAAUUGUAGACCCGUAUGAAAGGCAUAAUGAGGGUUUAACUGUCUCUUUUAGUAUAUCAAUUAAACUGAUCUCCUAGUCCAAAAGCUAGGAUACCAACAUAAGACCAGAAGACCCUGUGAAACUUUAACUAAAAUAUUAAAGCCUAUAAUAACUACUUUAGGUUGGGGCGACCUUGGAAAAUAAAAGAACUUCCACACACAUAUUACAUAAAAUAUAUAACCGGCCAACAAGCCUAUAACGACCCAGCACAGCUGAUAAUUGAACCAAGCUACUCCAGGGAUAACAGCGCUAUCUUCUUCAAGAGCCCAUAUCAAAAAGAAGGUUUACGACCUCGAUGUUGGAUCAGGACAUCCUAAUGGUGCAACCGCUAUUAAGGGUUCGUUUGUUCAACGAUUAAUAGUCCUACGUGAUCUGAGUUCAGACCGGA